UUCGCAUUAUUUGGUUUUAUAGAUCUUGGUUCCUUGGAUUUAGUAAUGGUUUUUAGUACUGGUUAAGUUUGUGCCAGCAGCCGCGGUUAUACAUUAAGUGCUAUUGAAUAUUUUUGGUUGUGCAGUUUUAUUGUUUAUUGGCGGGGCUUUAAGUUGGGGUUAAGGUUGGUAGUUAGGUGAAAUUUUUAUUCUUGUUUGUUGCUUUUUGUUUGUUUUGUAGGCUGUGAAAUCUUUUUUGUAAACUAGGAUUAGAUACCCUAUUAUUUUUGAUGUUAAUUAUUUUUCCUGGGUAGUAUUAGAUAUUUUCUUGAAACCCAAAGAAUUUGGCGGUAUCCCAUUCCUUUCAGAGGAAUCUGCCCCUUAAUCGAUAAUCCGCGCUGGACCUUUCUUAAUUUUUGUUUGUAUACCGCCGUUGUAAUGAGGAUCUUUUUAGUGUUACUAAUUUUCUGGCUUCAUUAUUUUGAUUUAUUUCAGGUCAAGGUGCAAUUUGUUUUUAAGUGUGAGGUGGAUUACAAUGUGUUGUUGAGUUUUCGGAUUAUUGGCUGAGAUCGUUUAUAUGAAGUUGGAUUUGGUUGUAAUUUGUUGAAGAUUGUUUGGAUGAUGUUGGUUCUGGGAUAUGUACACAUCGCCCGUCGCUCUCAUUAUUUUUGAGAUAAGUCGUAACAUAGUGGUCGUACCGGAAGGUGUGGCUGGAUUGAU
Molecule: non-coding RNA, 699 nt
Filed under: Cryptotermes parvifrons
Lineage: Eukaryota; Metazoa; Arthropoda; Insecta; Blattodea; Kalotermitidae
Source: RNAcentral